This is a long non-coding RNA of Apteryx haastii (Great spotted kiwi), 1377 nucleotides long. The record is from Ensembl. Lineage: Eukaryota; Metazoa; Chordata; Aves; Apterygiformes; Apterygidae.
AUGGGGGACACUGUUGUGGGUGUUUACUACAGGCCACCAGAUCAGGAAGAGGAAGUGGCGGAGGCCUUCUACAGGCAGCUGGAAGUAGCCUCACGAUCCCAGGCCCUGGUUCUCAUGGGGGACUUCAACCACCCCGAUAUCUGCUGGAAAGACAACACGGCUAGGCACAAACAGUCCUGGAGGUUCCUGCAGAGCAUUGGUGACAACUUCUUGACACAGGUGGUGGAGGAGCCAACAAGGAGAGGUGUGCUGCUGGACCUCGUACUGACAAACAAAGAAGGACUGGUGGAAGAUGUGAAGGUCAGGGGCAGCCUUGGCUGCAGUGACCAUGAGAUGGUGGAGUUCAGGAUCCUGCGAGGAGGAGGCAGGGCAAGAAGUAGGAUCGCAACCCUGGAGUUUAGGAGAGCAAACUUUGGCCUCUUCAGGGACAUACUUGGAGGAAUCCCAUGGGUUACAGCCCUAGAAGGAAGGGGCGUUCAAGAGAGCUGGUUAAUAUUCAAACAUCACUUCCUCCAGGCUCAAGAGCGGUGCAUCCCUAUGAGUAGGAAGUCAAGCAAAGGAGGUAGGAGACCUGCAUGGAUGAGCAAGGAGCUCCUGGCAAAACUCAACCAGAAGAAGGAAGUCUACAGAAAGUGGAAAGGGGGACAGGCCACUUGGGAGGAAUAUAGGAACAUUGUCAGAGUAUGCAGGGAUGCGACGAGGAAGGCUAAGGCCCGUUUGGAAUUAAAUCUGGCGAGAGAUGUCAAGGACAACAAGAAGGGCUUCUUCAAAUACAUCAGUAGCAAGAGGAAGACUAGGGAAAAUGUGGGCCCUUUGCUGAACGGGGUCAGUGCCCUGGUGACGAAGGACGCAGAGAAGGCAGAGUUACUGAAUACCUUCUUUGCUUUAGUCUUUACUGCUCAGGCCAGCCCUCAGGAACCCCAGACCCUGGAGGCAAGAGAGAAAGUCUGGAGAAAGGAAGACUUUCCCUUGGUGGAGGAGGAGUGGGUUAGAGAUCAUUUAAGCAAACUUGACACCCACAAAUCCAUGGGCCCCGAUGGGAUGCACCCACGAGUGCCGAGGGAGCUGGUGGAUGUCAUUGCUAAGCCACUCUCCAUCAUCUUUGAAAGGUCAUGGAGAACAGGAGAGAUGCCUGAAGACUGGAAAAAAGCCAAUGUCACUCCAGUCUUCAAAAAGGGCAAGAAGGAGCACCCAGGGAACUACAGGCCAGUCAGCCUCACCUGCAUCCCUGGAAAGGUGAUGAAGCAGCUCAUCCUGGAGGCCAUCUCCAAGCACGUGGAGGAAAAGAAGGUGAUCGGGAGUAGUCAGCAUGGAUUCACAAAGGGGAAAUCACGCUUAACCAAUCUGAUAGCCUUCUAUGAUGGAAUGACUGGCUAG